CAACAGGGUUAUACAUAUAUAUGAUCAACACAUUAUAUUUGCUUUCUCUUAAAGUACCACAGAAAAAAGAUGUGUGGCGGUGCCAUUAUUUUCGACUUCGUUGAUCUGAAACGUGGCCGGAAAUUGACAGCGGAAGACUUGCGGUCGGAACUUGAGAGACCAAUUUAGGCCUCUUGGGCUUGGACUACGCUAAAUAGUUUGAAGCUCAAAAGCCUGACCAAGUGAGGAAUGACAAUGGUGAAAAGAAAGAGGCACAUGGAGGAUUAACCUAACACUCAAUGGGCUCGGAAGCACGUGUACAGAGGAAAAAGGCAGAGGCCAUGGGGGAAGUGGGCAGCUGGAAUCAAAGAUCCUCACAAAAGAGCCCGAGUCCGGCUUGGUACCUACAACACAGCCGAAGAAGCCGCCAGAGCCUACGAUGAAGCCGCCAAGCGCAUACGUGGCGACAAGGCCAAGCUCAACUUUCUUGAACAAUCACCACCUCAAGUUAAACCUCCGUCUAAUUAUUGAAAAAAAGACUCAUUUGAAUUUGUCAAACUCAGCUCGUGAUCGAACUCGUUGAGCCUACUUGAGCCAAAUUCACGAGUAGCUUGGCUCAUGAACGAGCCAAAUUCGAAUAUUGAAUUUUUGGUUUGUUGAGCCUAAGCUUGGGCUUGAACUCUUUUCAACAGUAACCGAAUUGAGUUUGAGUUUGGUUGAGUUGAAGCUCAAUUCGGUUCGAAUCUAAUCUUGAUAUCCGUGUCUUAAGAAACGAUCAUUCACUAUUUUGGGAAUGUAUGUUUAUCCUUUGUUACUUUGAACCUUUAAUAUUGUCUUUUUUAUGACUAUUAAUCUACUUGAGGUGUUUUCGUCUUGUUUUAUA
Mangifera indica (mango) is the source of this 862-nucleotide long non-coding RNA. RefSeq lists it as uncharacterized. The transcript has 2 exons. NCBI's taxonomy places the organism in Eukaryota, Viridiplantae, Streptophyta, Magnoliopsida, Sapindales, Anacardiaceae. The record is from RefSeq and is a predicted model, not a curated record.